Molecule: ribosomal RNA, 253 nt
Filed under: uncultured bacterium
Lineage: Bacteria
Description: partial 16S ribosomal RNA
Rfam family: Bacterial small subunit ribosomal RNA
Source: RNAcentral
UACAGAGGUCUCAAGCGUUGUUCGGAUUCAUUGGGCGUAAAGGGUGCGUAGGCGGCCCGGUAAGUCGGGUGUGAAAUCUCGGAGCUUAACUCCGAAACUGCAUUCGAUACUGCCGUGCUUGAGGACUGGAGAGGAGACUGGAAUUUACGGUGUAGCGGUGAAAUGCGUAGAUAUCGUAAGGAAGACCAGUGGCGAAGGCGGGUCUCUGGACAGUUCCUGACGCUGAGGCACGAAGGUCAGGGGAGCAAACGGG